GAUGAACGCUAGCUACAGGCUUAACACAUGCAAGUCGAGGGACCGGCGCACGGGUGAGUAACACGUAUCCAACCUGCCCUUUACUCGGGGAUAGCCUUUCGAAAGAAAGAUUAAUACCCGAUAUAAAGGAUGGGGAUGCGUUCCAUUAGGUUGGUGGUGAGGUAACGGCUCACCAAGCCUUCGAUGGAUAGGGGUUCUAAGAGGAAGGGACCCCACAUUGGAACUGAGACACAGUCCAAAAUCCGACGGGAGGGAGCAGUGAGGAAUAUUGGUCAAUGGGCGCUAGCCUGAACCAGCCAAGUAGCGUGAAGGAUGAAUGCUUAUGGGUCGUAAACUUCUGAUAGAUAAGAAGAUGUAUUAUAUGAAUAAGGAUCGGCUAACUCCGUGCCAGCAGCCGCGGUAAUUC
Molecule: ribosomal RNA, 406 nt
Filed under: uncultured bacterium
Lineage: Bacteria
Description: partial 16S ribosomal RNA
Rfam family: Bacterial small subunit ribosomal RNA
Source: RNAcentral